UACGUAGGUCCCGAGCGUUGUCCGGAUUCAUUGGGCGUAAAGCGAGCGCAGGUGGUUUAUUAAGUCUGGUGUAAAAGGCAGUGGCUCAACCAUUGUAUGCAUUGGAAACUGGUAGACUUGAGUGCAGGAGAGGAGAGUGGAAUUCCAUGUGUAGCGGUGAAAUGCGUAGAUAUAUGGAGGAACACCGGUGGCGAAAGCGGCUCUCUGGCCUGUAACUGACGCUGAGGCGCGAAAGCGUGGGGAGCAAACAGG
Molecule: ribosomal RNA, 252 nt
Filed under: uncultured bacterium
Lineage: Bacteria
Description: partial 16S ribosomal RNA
Rfam family: Bacterial small subunit ribosomal RNA
Source: RNAcentral